Molecule: ribosomal RNA, 479 nt
Filed under: uncultured anaerobic ammonium-oxidizing bacterium
Lineage: Bacteria
Description: bacterial SSU rRNA
Rfam family: Bacterial small subunit ribosomal RNA
Source: RNAcentral
UUUCGCAAUGCCCGAAAGGGUGACGAAGCGACGCCGCGUGUGGGAAGAAGGCCUUCGGGUUGUAAACCACUGUCGGGAGUUAGGAAGUGUAAGGAUGUGAAUAACGUCUUUGCUUGACUAAGGCUCCGGAGGAAGCCACGGCUAACUCUGUGCCAGCAGCCGCGGUAAUACAGAGGCGGCAAGCGUUGUUCGGAAUUAUUGGGCGUAAAGAGCACGUAGGCGGCCUUGCAGGUCAGUUGUGAAAGCCUUCUGCUUAACGGAAGAGCAGCAUCUGAUACUGCAAGGCUAGAGUGCGGAAGGGGAGAGUGGAACUUCUGGUGGAGCGGUGAAAUGCGUAGAUAUCAGAAGGAACACCGGCGGCGAAGGCGACUCUCUGGUCCGUAACUGACGCUGAGUGUGCGAAAGCUAGGGGAGCAAACGGGAUUAGAUACCCCGGUAGUCCUAGCCGUAAACGAUGGGCACUAAGUAGAGGGGUUUUA